GAUGAACGCUGGCGGCGUGCCUAAUACAUGCAAGUCGAACGCUUCUUUCCUCCCGAGUGCUUGCACUCAAUUGGAAAGAGGAGUGGCGGACGGGUGAGUAACACUUGGGUAACCUACCCAUCAGAGGGGGAUAACACUUGGAAACAGGUGCUAAUACCUCAUAACAGUUUAUGCCGCAUGGCAUAAGAGUGUAAGUCGCUUUCGGGUGUCGCUGAUGGAUGGACCCGCGGUGCAUUAGCUAGUUGGUGAGGUAACGGCUCACCAAGGCCACGAUGCAUAGCCGACCUGAGAGGGUGAUCGGCCACACUGGGACUGAGACACGGUCCAGACUCCUACGGGAGGCAGCAGUAGGGAAUCUUCGGCAAUGGACGAAAGUCUGACCGAGCAACGCCGCGUGAGUGAAGAAGGUUUUCGGAUCGUAAAACUCUGUUGUUAGAGAAGAACAAGGACGUUAGUAACUGAACGUCCCCUGACGGUAUCUAACCAGAAAGCCACGGCUAACUACGUG
RNAcentral lists this ribosomal RNA (508 nucleotides) under uncultured bacterium. RNAcentral describes it as "partial 16S ribosomal RNA". It matches the Rfam family "Bacterial small subunit ribosomal RNA", at positions 28 to 507 of the family's 1533-position model. The record is from RNAcentral.